RNAcentral lists this non-coding RNA (24 nucleotides) under Cricetulus griseus (Chinese hamster). The record is from RNAcentral. Lineage: Eukaryota; Metazoa; Chordata; Mammalia; Rodentia; Cricetidae.
AAGAUGAAGAUGGAUCAGAGUCUG